AUUGAACGCUGGCGGCAUGCUUUACACAUGCAAGUCGAACGGUAACAGGCCGCAAGGUGCUGACGAGUGGCGAACGGGUGAGUAAUGCAUCGGAACGUGCCCAGUCGUGGGGGAUAACGCAGCGAAAGCUGCGCUAAUACCGCAUACGAUCUAUGGAUGAAAGCGGGGACCGGAAGGCCUCGCCCGAUUUGAACCGCCCGUGGCAGAUUAGGUAGUUGGUGGGGUAAAGGCUCACCAUGCCAACGAUCUGUAGCUGGUCUGAGAGGACGACCAGCCACACUGGGACGGAGACACGGCCCAGACUCCUACGGGAGGCAGCAGUGGGGAAUUUUGGACAAUGGGCGCAAGCCUGAUCCAGCAAUGCCGCGUGCAGGAAGAAGGCCUUCGGGUUGUAAACUGCUUUUGUACGGAACGAAAAGGCUCUGGUUAAUACCUGGGGCUCAUGACGGUACCGUAAGAAUAAGCACCGGCUAACUACGUGCCAGCAGCCGCCGUAA
RNAcentral lists this ribosomal RNA (497 nucleotides) under uncultured bacterium. RNAcentral describes it as "partial 16S ribosomal RNA". It matches the Rfam family "Bacterial small subunit ribosomal RNA", at positions 30 to 523 of the family's 1533-position model. The record is from RNAcentral.